AACUGUUUUAAAGACUGAUUAGAAAUGUUUCUUAGAUAUCAGGAUGAUUUCUGAAGAUCAUGUGACACUGAAGACUGGAGUAAU
Sinocyclocheilus grahami is the source of this 84-nucleotide long non-coding RNA. RefSeq lists it as uncharacterized. NCBI's taxonomy places the organism in Eukaryota, Metazoa, Chordata, Actinopteri, Cypriniformes, Cyprinidae. The transcript is spliced from 3 exons. The record is from RefSeq and is a predicted model, not a curated record.